AAGACAGUGAAAGAGAAAAAGAAAAAGCCCUUUCUCUUCUUCAAUUCUUUCUUUUGUAGUGUUUUUUUUUUUUCCAGU
Molecule: non-coding RNA, 78 nt
Filed under: Chloropicon mariensis
Lineage: Eukaryota; Viridiplantae; Chlorophyta; Chloropicophyceae; Chloropicales; Chloropicaceae
Source: RNAcentral